RNAcentral lists this ribosomal RNA (460 nucleotides) under uncultured bacterium. RNAcentral describes it as "partial 16S ribosomal RNA". It matches the Rfam family "Bacterial small subunit ribosomal RNA", at positions 338 to 795 of the family's 1533-position model. The record is from RNAcentral.
CCUACGGGAGGCAGCAGUGAGGAAUAUUGGUCAAUGGGCGCUAGCCUGAACCAGCCAAGUAGCGUGCAGGAUGACUGCCCUAUGGGUUGUAAACUUCUUUUAUGUGGGGAUAAAGUGCAGUAUGUAUACUGCUUUGUAUGUACCUUAUGAAUAAGGAUCGGCUAAUUCCGUGCCAGCAGCCGCGGUAAUACGGAGGAUCCGGGCGUUAUCCGGAUUUAUUGGGUUUAAAGGGAGCGUAGGCGGGUUGUUAAGUCUGUCGUGAAAUGUUGUGGCUCAACCGUAGAAUUGCAGUGGUUACUGGCAUCCUUGAGUACAGUGAAGGUAUGCGGAAUUCGUGGUGUAGCGGUGAAAUGCUUAGAUAUCACGAAGAACUCCGAUUGCGAAGGCAGCAUACUGGAGUGCAACUGACGCUGAAGCUCGAAAGUGCGGGUAUCAAACAGGAUUAGAUACCCUUGUAGUC